Molecule: ribosomal RNA, 301 nt
Filed under: uncultured bacterium
Lineage: Bacteria
Description: partial 16S ribosomal RNA
Rfam family: Bacterial small subunit ribosomal RNA
Source: RNAcentral
CAGUCGCCACGGGAAUACGUAGGUGGCAAGCGUUGUCCGGAAUUAUUGGGCGUAAAGGGCUCGCAGGCGGUUUCUUAAGUCUGAUGUGAAAGCCCCCGGCUCAACCGGGGAGGGUCAUUGGAAACUGGGAAACUUGAGUGCAGAAGAGGAGAGUGGAAUUCCACGUGUAGCGGUGAAAUGCGUAGAGAUGUGGAGGAACACCAGUGGCGAAGGCGACUCCCUGGUCUGUAACUGACGCUGAGGAGCGAAAGCGUGGGGAGCGAACAGGAUUAGAUACCCCUGUAGUCCCUGUCUCUUAUAC